RNAcentral lists this ribosomal RNA (271 nucleotides) under uncultured bacterium. RNAcentral describes it as "partial 16S ribosomal RNA". It matches the Rfam family "Bacterial small subunit ribosomal RNA", at positions 524 to 794 of the family's 1533-position model. The record is from RNAcentral.
UACGGAGGGUGCAAGCGUUGUUCGGAAUUAUUGGGCGUAAAGCGCGUGCAGGCGGUUGCUUAAGUCUGAUGUGAAAGCCCUGGGCUCAACCCGGGAAGUGCAUUGGAAACUGGGCAACUUGAGUACGGGAGAGGAUAGUGGAAUUCCGAGUGUAGGGGUGAAAUCCGUAGAUAUUCGGAGGAACACCGGUGGCGAAGGCGGCUAUCUGGACCGAUACUGACGCUGAGACGCGAAAGCGUGGGGAGCAAACAGGAUUAGAUACCCUGGUAGU